This 539-nucleotide long non-coding RNA is filed under the name Phoenix dactylifera (date palm). Its description in RNAcentral is "long non-coding RNA (PDAC_LNC008418)". Lineage: Eukaryota; Viridiplantae; Streptophyta; Magnoliopsida; Arecales; Arecaceae. The record is from RNAcentral.
UUUAUUAAGAAUAACUCUAUGAAUUCUCUAUAUGCUUGAUUGAGAGUUUUUAUCCAUGGCAUUAUUGUUUAUUGAUCAUAGAUAUGAUAAUAUGUACUUGGUAUGCUUUUGAAUAUAUGCACUAUGAAUACCAAGAUUAAAGAAACCAUCUUUGGCAUAUAAAAUCAACUCAUGCUAGUAUGUACUUAAUCUCAAAAGACCUUGCCAUUGCCUUACUUAGAUUAUCUUCUGAAAGGUCAAAGUUUGCUAUGCAUGUUAACUAAGGAAACAAACAAGAAUCAAUUUCUAAAUCUAAAGAUGUUGUUUCCAUCACUAAGUUUUCAAAAGCUUACAUUGGAUUUGUUCUUGGCUAAUAAAAUUGAAAUAUUUUCUGUAUUUGCUAAAUCUUGUAAAAGUGUUUCAAAUGAUAAAGAUUUCCAAACUGUGAAGGUAUCAUGGCACAGUGUUGAAAACCAAAAUCCUGAUAAAGUUUAUACAGAAAUUAAUUAUUUCAGCACCAAGGACACCUUAAGUAAAAUAGGGUUAAUAGAAUUCUUGAA